CUGAGCUAGCUGAGAAACAGCUGAAGGACUGCUGGAUUCACCGUGAACUGGUUGGAUUUUUACAUUUCGAAACAAUUUUCAGCGUCAAACGUUGAGAGGACAAAAUAACCAUUUACCCUCAGCACAUCCAAGGUUGCCAGAUCAACUCUGCUGCUCAAAUAAGGAAGCAACCAGCAGGACUCUGGAAAGCAGACUUCAUCCAUUCAGCCAAUCGGUCCUCUAGAGUGCAGAAAGGUCAUCAGAUGUGGUUCCACGUCGUCCGUUUCCAGCUCGCUGGGUUUCAUCCAGACCAGAG
Molecule: long non-coding RNA, 295 nt
Organism: Xiphophorus maculatus (southern platyfish)
Lineage: Eukaryota; Metazoa; Chordata; Actinopteri; Cyprinodontiformes; Poeciliidae
Exons: 4
Source: RefSeq, a predicted model, not a curated record